This 251-nucleotide ribosomal RNA is filed under the name uncultured prokaryote. Its description in RNAcentral is "partial 16S rRNA". It matches the Rfam family "Bacterial small subunit ribosomal RNA", at positions 525 to 775 of the family's 1533-position model. The record is from RNAcentral.
ACGUAUGGGGCGAGCGUUGUUCGGAAUUAUUGGGCGUAAAGGGCGUCUAGGCGGGGGAUUAAGUUAGAUGUGAAAGCUAUGGGCUCAACCCAUAAAUUGCAAAUAAGACUGGUAGUCUUGAGUUCGGGAGAGGAGGGCGGAAUUCCAGGUGUAGCGGUGAAAUGCGUAGAUAUCAGGAAGAACACCAGUGGCGAAGGCAGCCAUCUGGCCUGGGACUGACGCUAAAGCGCGAAAGUGUGGGUAGCGAACAG